Molecule: unclassified non-coding RNA, 941 nt
Filed under: Hevea brasiliensis (rubber tree)
Lineage: Eukaryota; Viridiplantae; Streptophyta; Magnoliopsida; Malpighiales; Euphorbiaceae
Source: RNAcentral
CUCCCUCUCUAUCAGUUUGAUGAAAUUGCCAACAAUUGUCUUGCCUUCUGAUGUUAUAAUGCUUUCUGGAUGGAACUGUACCCCCUGCAGAUGCUUAUACUUUUUGUGACGAGCAGCCAUUAUUAGUCCAUCCUCUGUCCAUGCUGUAAUCUCAAGUUCUUCACUAGGGAAACUCUCCUUUUCAAUCACUAAGCUAUGAUAUCUCCCAGCAGUGAAUGGGUUUGGUAACCCAGAAAACAAGCCAUCUUCCCCUUUCUCAUCAUAAUAUACGAGAGAACUUUUCCCAUGCAUGACACCAUAAGGAGAACGCACAACCUUCCCUCCAAAAGCCUCUCCAAUGCACUGCAGCCCCAUACACACACCAAACAAGGGCACUAGAGGUCCAAGCUCCAAAACAGUUUGCAAUGAUAUUCCAGAAUCUUGUGGUGUGCCUGGUCCUGGGGAUAUAAGCACCCCUCUUGGAUUUUUCCUUUUUAACUCUUCCACAGUUAACUCAUCAUUCCGAUAAACCUCAAAGUGGCAUCCUAACUCCCCCAUGUACUGGCAAAGAUUAUAAGUAAAGCUAUCAUAGUUGUCAAUGACAAUUAUGGGAUUCUUCAUCUCCCUAUUAAUCGAAACCGCAGCCGAAGAAUUCGAUCCUGUGACGGCCAUUGAACACUUUGCAACGAACCCAUUUUCCCUCUUCGCCUCAAAGUUCAAUUUUGAUGGAAGAGAGACGGUUGAGGGGGAAGGUAGACGAGGGUUUUGAAGCAUCUCGAGGGGAAUAGAGGGUUUGUAUUGAAAGAGAGACUGUGAAAGCAGACUUGCAGCCAUAGUAGAAGUCACAGAGCACUGCAGAUAGACUUUGGAAAGAAGCGUUUAGAUUCCCAGCGAAAAGAGAAAUGGAUUUAUUGCUGGCAGCUACCCAUUUAUAGACAUUAAAGAUAUAAUUUUGCAAUUCC